UACACCUGAUUUGUUACGAAGGCCAAGAACAGUACCGGACUUACUCGCCGGCGGAAGAAAUUCCACCGGAGAGUCAACGGCAGUGAAUAUCAGGCCGUUAAAGUUGACGAAGUUGCUGUUAAAUGUAACGAUUCAAAGGAGUGUUGGACCUGUACAAGUACUAAUAUCGUUGGAAUCAACGGUUGAUGAUCUUAUUGCUGCAGCUUUACGGCAGUACUCGAAGGAAGGAAGAAGGCCGGUGCUUUCUUCCGUUAACGCGGGUUAUUAUGAUCUUCAUUACUCGCAGUUCAGCUUAGAAAGUAAGACUUAAUUACUUUCCUUUUCUAAUUUAAGACUUAAUUAGUUCCUUUUCUAAGUUACAAAUUUAUGCUUUUUUACAAAAAGAAAAAACUUAUGAUUUAGUUUUGCCAAUAUCUUAUGCAUAGCAAAAGUUUUAAGUUGAUUUUUUUUUUUUUUCAUAAAUCGUUUAUUUAAAGUAAAAAUCAAUUAUAAUAAGUUCACUUGUAUGAUUUAGAACAAAAUGAUCUAGUACUAGUAAGUACAGUAUAUGACAUUCUUUUGUUUACUUAAGCUCUGGAUUUAUAAGUUAUGGUUAUACAAUAGUAUAGCGAAUUGUUUUCUUAUUUUUAAUUUUUGAAACAAUUAUUUGUAUUUAUUUAUUGAAGCUUUACAAAAUUAGGUUAUAUAUAUGAUACUGAUGUUCCUGAAACAAAUAAAUAUUUCAGAUGUUCAUGUGACACCAUUCACUUUUAGCCCAUUUCAAAAAAUUAAUACUCCGGAGUGUUCUUUUAUAUCUAGUAGUAACACAAUUUGAAAUUUCUAUGUCUAAUUUUAUUAAAUUACAAGUUCUUUUAGAAAGGAUUCUUAAAUUUUGUGUCAGUCAAACACUUUUAACUGAGACAAACAUCAAACAAUAAUAAUAACAAUAUACUUAUUUGUAAUUUUACAAGUAAAAUUUGACAAAAGCAUAAUGUAUAGAGAUUUUACCUCUGAAUUUGUGGAGCCGAAAAAUUACUUCAGCUAAAUCGUCAGCUUAAAUUUGAGAUGGAGAGUAAAUGAAUUCGAUUUGGUAAUUAUAAAUGAGUGUAUGAAGUUUUUCUAACGAUCAAAUUAUGAGUACUUGAUUUAUUAUUAGGAGAAACUUGUUAGUUCAGUUGGCUGGUCUGGACUAUCUAAACUUUCAUGUUUCUCCUGCC
RNAcentral lists this long non-coding RNA (1196 nucleotides) under Capsicum annuum. RNAcentral's name for it is "long non-coding RNA (CANN_LNC020156)". Lineage: Eukaryota; Viridiplantae; Streptophyta; Magnoliopsida; Solanales; Solanaceae. The record is from RNAcentral.